AUUUCUUAUGUUCUAUUUUAAAAAAAAAAAAAUCUAAUUAUGUAUCUUACAACAGACAUUUUGUAUCCAACACUGCACUUGUCUAGUAAAUGAAGGAUACCUGUCACUCUAGCCAUUCUGAUCUUUGCAGAUUUCAUCCUGAUUUUAUUACAGUACAUGUCAAAAGGUUACAUUAUUUGGUUUAGUUCUUUUAUAUUUUUCACUGUAUAUAACAAAAGAACUGAGUGAGGGUCAUGUUCCUCUUGAAAUUGAAAAAAAAAAAAGCGUUCUGUCCUUUAUUACUCUUACCUGCUUGACUUCUAACUCACUAACUUGUUAUAGAGGCUACUUUUGGCAAAACACAGGGAGGAUGUCCACACAUGGAUCUCCCUAGGAGGGAAAGACCUGGAGGAAAAGGGUCAAUUCCCAAGUCAUGGACACACUCUGAUGGGGAGCUUAAUUGAAAACAGUCCUUGUGUGGUUAGGCCUUUCUCCACUCACACACACCUCCUCCUCCUCCUCUAGCCCAGUUCAUGUCCACAGCAUUCGGUCAAGAGCGUGACGGAGGGUCAAGCUUCAACAGCGCGUACUCAAGCAGCUCUGCCCAAAGAAGGCAUUGUAGUCCUGUGAGAGGUUGUUUUUUUUGUUGUUUUUUUUUAUCUUCAUUCUGGCACACUGCUUCAGAAGUUCUGCACUCUUAGGCAAAGAUACACCACAGUGACAAUAAAAGAAAAUCGUGCUCCGAAACCACCUUGAUCCUCUGCCAAUCUUGAUAAGUUAUAAGUCCAAAGAUUUCUCCACUGUGUUAGUGGGAAAACAGUCACUGGUUCACUGGAGCAUCUCACCAGCCCUCACUUUUGUUUGUUUGUUUGUUUGUUUGUUUGUUUAUUUAUUUGUACUUCACAUCACCAGGGGUUUGGAGAGAGCAAUUGGGAGUAUCAAUGGUACGUACUGUUGACCAUAAUCACUGACAGGAGAUGACGCAUUCAUUUGGCCAAAUGUUUUAGUAUUUGACCUUGAAGUCACAUAGCAGCUUUUUAUUUCUCUUUCUCUGACAGGCUGUUUACUUCAGGAUUUCACUAAUGGACACAAUGGAUGUGAUGAAUAGAUUUUAGUUCUAUUAUUAAAAUGACCUGUUUAAAGUCAAUAGAGGUUUCAGU
This is a long non-coding RNA of Ictalurus punctatus (channel catfish), 1139 nucleotides long. The record is from Ensembl. NCBI's taxonomy places the organism in Eukaryota, Metazoa, Chordata, Actinopteri, Siluriformes, Ictaluridae.